RNAcentral lists this ribosomal RNA (279 nucleotides) under uncultured bacterium. RNAcentral describes it as "partial 16S ribosomal RNA". It matches the Rfam family "Bacterial small subunit ribosomal RNA", at positions 65 to 339 of the family's 1533-position model. The record is from RNAcentral.
AGAGGACAAGAGAAGCUUGCUUCUUUUGGAAUCGAGUGGCAAACGGGUGAGUAACACGUAAACAACCUGCCUUCAGGAUGGGGACAACAGACGGAAACGACUGCUAAUACCGCAUGACACAUUGGGGUCGCAUGGCCCUGAUGUCAAAGAUUUAUCGCUUCAAGAUGGCCUCGCGUCUGAUUAGCUAGUUGGCGGGGUAACGGCCCACCAAGCCGACGAUAUCUAGGGGUUCUGAGAGGAAGGUCCCCCACAUUGGAACUGAGACACGGUCCAAACUCC